GACGAACGCUGGCGGCGUGCUUAACACAUGCAAGUCGUACGGUAAGGCCCUUUCUGGGUUACACGAGUGGCUAACGGGUGAGUAACACGUGAGUAACCUACCCACCCCUUUCUGUUAACGCUAGUCAACUGGUGCUAAUACUUACUAUGUGUUCCUUCUGCAUGGUUGGGGUUGGUUAGCUCCGGCGGUUGUGGAUGGACUCGCGGCCUCUUAUCUUGUUGGUGGGGUAGUGGGCUACCAACGCGGCGAAGGGUAGCCGGCCUGAGAGGGUGACCGGCCACAAUGGGACUGAGAUACGGCCCAGACUCCUACGGGAGGGAGCAGGGGGGAAUAUUGCACAAUGGGCGCAAGCCUGAUGCAGCAAAGCCGCGUGGGGGAUGACGGCCUUCGGGUUGUAAACCGCUUUCAGCAGGGACAAAGCUGUUUGUGACGGUACCUGCAGAAGAAGCACCGGCUAACUACGUG
Molecule: ribosomal RNA, 465 nt
Filed under: uncultured bacterium
Lineage: Bacteria
Description: partial 16S ribosomal RNA
Rfam family: Bacterial small subunit ribosomal RNA
Source: RNAcentral